AUGCAGUCGAGCGAGAACCGUAGCAAUACGGGGACAGCGGCGAAAGGGACAGUAAUGUGUAGGUACCUACCUCCGGGUUCGGGAUAGCUGCGGGAAACUGCAGGUAAUACCGAAUAACGUCUCCGGACCAAAGGUGUGAUUCCACCUGGAGAGGGGCCUGCAUCCUAUUAGCUUGUUGGCGGGGUAACGGCCCACCAAGGCGACGAUGGGUAGCGGGUGUGAGAGCACGACCCGCGUCAUUGGGACUGAGACACUGCCCAGACACCUACGGGUGGCUGCAGUCGAGGAUCUUCGGCAAUGGGCGCAAGCCUGACCGAGCGACGCCGCGUGCGGGAUGAAGGCCUUCGGGUUGUAAACCGCUGUCGUAGAGGAGGAAAUGCAGGAGGGUUCUCCCUCCUGUUUGACCUAUUCUAGGAGGAAGGACGGGCUAAGUUCGUGCCAGCAGCCGCGGUAAGACGAACCGUCCAAACGUUACUCGGAAUUACUGGGCUUAAAGGGUGCGUAGGCUGCGCGGAAAGUCGGGUGUGAAAGCCCUCAGCUCAACUGGGGAAUUGCACUCGAAACUACCGUGCUCGAGGGAGACAGAGGUAAGCGGAACUCAAGGUGGAGCGGUGAAAUGCGUUGAUAUCUUGAGGAACACCGGUGGCGAAGGCGGCUUACUGGGUCUCUUCUGACGCUGAGGCACGAAAGCCAAGGUAGC
Molecule: ribosomal RNA, 700 nt
Filed under: uncultured bacterium
Lineage: Bacteria
Description: bacterial SSU rRNA
Rfam family: Bacterial small subunit ribosomal RNA
Source: RNAcentral